GUGCACAACAUUCAUGUGUAAAGGGAAAAAGGCCACUUCAUUUCAGCUGCACUUCUCUGAGCACUGCUUCAGCAACCCCUCCGCGAGGAAGCCACCACCCUUCCUUGAGGAACCCUCAUCACAACUCCGCCUCUCAGCCCCUGGUUCAAGUCCCCACCUUGUGCGUUGGGAUGCUUAAGUUCAUAUAAAUGUCUGUGCACAGUCUCAUGACCCAGCU
This 217-nucleotide long non-coding RNA is filed under the name Dunaliella salina. RNAcentral's name for it is "long non-coding RNA (DSAL_LNC000278)". Lineage: Eukaryota; Viridiplantae; Chlorophyta; Chlorophyceae; Chlamydomonadales; Dunaliellaceae. The record is from RNAcentral.